RNAcentral lists this long non-coding RNA (1666 nucleotides) under Capsicum annuum. Its description in RNAcentral is "long non-coding RNA (CANN_LNC000002)". The record is from RNAcentral. Lineage: Eukaryota; Viridiplantae; Streptophyta; Magnoliopsida; Solanales; Solanaceae.
UGAGAAAUUGAGAAUCAGAACGUUCAUUCAAUUAAAGAAAACGUAUAUGAAAGAACCAUAAAACGAAACUCUUUUUAUGGUCUUUAUGCGUAUGUAAACCCACGCAAUUCAAUAACAAAUAACAAAUCGAAAUAAUAGAUUCAUCUCAGAUGGCAAACCAUUUCGAAAUCAAGAAAUUUUUUUUAGUUCAAUAUUUGUUGGAAUUGACACUUUAGAUCCAGAUAGAUCAUAUCUUGUAAAUUGGAAAUUCUUUCUUUUGUAUUCUUUAAUGACCAACAAUUGGAUUUCUUAAUUAAAUAAUGAGAACUAGCCAAUUUAUCUUUUGCCAGUCAUUUUUUUUUAUCAUCGUAAUAUCUUUCCCUCAAUUAUUCUAUUCCUGACUAUGGGUAAUUAGUGAAAUUUUUUCGAAAUAUUGGAUAUUUUGAUAGCAAGGGAGUUCUUUCUUCUCAAAAUCUGAACAAUAUUCAUUACUUAAAGUGGUUCUUUCGAUCAUUCAUCGAAAGGAGACACUUGAUUUUGAAUUUGACCAAUUGAGAUAUCAGGAAACAAUAUUCUCAAUUUCUUCAUUCGAAGUGAAUUCUUAGCCUAUUUCUGUAUUCUUUCUAGAUUCAAAGACUAACCACAAAAUCACAAAGAAAAUAGAUUCAUAAGUUCGAUACCUUGUAUAAAACUCAUGUGUGUAAGAAAUAUUCGAUCGCAUAGAGUGUACGGAUGGGUUGAUUAACAAUUCACAGAUGAAAAAAUGGCAAAAAAGAAAGCAUUCACCCCUCUUUUCUAUCUUGCAUAUAUAGUAUUUUUGCCCUGGUGGAUUUCUUUCUCAGUUAAUAAAUGUCUGGAAUCUUGGGUUACUAAUUGGUGGAAUACUGGGCAAUCCGAAAUUUUCUUGAAUACUAUUCAAGAAAAGAGUCUUCUAGAAAAAUUCAUAGAAUUAGAGGAACUCCUCUUCUUGGACGAAAUGAUCAAGGAAUACUCGGAAACACAUCUCGAAGAGUUUGGGAUAGGAAUCCAUAAAGAAACGAUCCAAUUAAUCAAGAUGCAAAAUGAGAAUCGUAUCCAUACGAUUUUGCACUUCUCAACAAAUAUCAUCUGUUUUAUUAUUCUAAGCGGGUAUUCAAUUUUGGGUAAUGAAAAACUUGUUAUUCUUAACUCUUGGGCUCAGGAAUUCCUAUAUAACGUAAGUGACACAGUAAAAGCUUUUUCUAUUCUUUUAUUAACUGAUUUAUGUAUCGGAUUCCAUUCACCCCGCGGUUGGGAAUUAAUUAUUGGCUCUAUCUAUAAAGAUUUUGGGUUUGUUCAUAAUGAUCAAAUUAUAUCUGGUCUUGUUUCCACCUUCCCAGUCAUUCUCGAUACAAUUUUUAAAUAUUGGAUUUUCCGUUAUUUAAAUCGUCUGUCUCCGUCACUUGUAGUUAUUUAUCAUUCAAUGAAUGACUGAUAAAGGAUCCAUUGAUAUUAAUCUAAUCCAAUUAGAAUGCUUGGUACUUUGUAGUUGUACAUAAGCAAAGUAUUGAAAAUCGUAUUUUAUCUUUCUAUUUCUAACCAUCGGGAAGAUUCAUCCUAUAUUAUUUCUAGAUUAUUCCAGCAAAUAGCAGAAUCGUGGCUAGGGAACUAUACUAGCGACCUACCCAAUUUAUUGUAGAAAUUUUCGCGAUCAAUGAUUGGACCAUGC